GCAGGGAUGGCCGAGUGGUCUAAGGCGCUAGACUCAAGCGAACAGCUUCGUUGCGGUGCAACGGCGGGCGUUCUAGUAUCGUUAUCGAUGCGUGGGUUCGAAUCCCACUUCCUGCA
This 116-nucleotide transfer RNA is filed under the name Bursaphelenchus xylophilus (pine wood nematode). It matches the Rfam family "tRNA". Rfam says of the family: Transfer RNA (tRNA) molecules are approximately 80 nucleotides in length. Their secondary structure includes four short double-helical elements and three loops (D, anti-codon, and T loops). The record is from Rfam by way of RNAcentral. Lineage: Eukaryota; Metazoa; Nematoda; Chromadorea; Rhabditida; Aphelenchoididae.